Molecule: ribosomal RNA, 3215 nt
Filed under: Deltaproteobacteria bacterium RIFCSPLOWO2_01_FULL_42_9
Lineage: Bacteria; Deltaproteobacteria
Description: bacterial LSU rRNA
Rfam family: Bacterial large subunit ribosomal RNA
Source: RNAcentral
AUAAGCUACUAAGGGCGUAUGGUGAAUGCCUUGGCGUCAUCAGGCGAUGAAAGACGUGGUUAGCUGCGAUAAGCUUCGGUGAGUUGCUAAACAAACUUUGACCCGAAGAUCUCUGAAUGGGGAAACCUCUUAUGGGUAACACCAUAAGAUUUCCAAAAGAAAUGCGAACGCAGGGAACUGAAACAUCUUAGUACCUGCAGGAAAAUAAAACAACCGUGAUUCUCAAAGUAGUGGCGAGCGAAAUGGGAACAGCCUAAACCUUGCAUACGUAAUAACCUAGGGGUGUUGUAUGUUGGGUGUUGCGGAACGUUUCAUGUGUGGCUCUAGACACACAAAGAAGUUACCAAUCUUUAUCUUAGCAAAAGAAUCUGGAAAGAUUUCCCAUAGAAAGUGAUAGGCUUGUAUGCGAAAAGAUAAAGACUUCUGAGAAUGUUUCCAAGUACCACGGGGCACGAGCAACCCUGUGGGAAUCUGGGGGGACCACCCUCCAAGGCUAAAUACUAGAUGGCGACCGAUAGUGAACAAGUACCGUGAGGGAAAGGUGAAAAGAACCCCGGUGAGGGGAGUGAAAUAGAAUCUGAAACCAUAUGCCUACAAGCUGUGGAAGGGCUAUGCAUGGACUUCGGUCCAUGAAUGCCUGACCGCGUUCCUUUUGCAUUAUGAGUCGGCGACUUAUUUUCUGUAGCAAGGUUAAGCCGUAGAGGUGGAGCCGUAGCGAAAGCGAGUCUGAAUAGGGCGAAUAAGUUACAGGAAAUAGACCCGAAACCGAGUGAUCUACCCAUGGUCAGGAUGAAGUAGCCGUAACAGGCUAUGGAGGUCCGAACUGGUUGCCCUUAAAAAGGCAUCGGAUGAACUGUGGGUAGUAGUGAAAAGCUAAUCGAACUCGGAUAUAGCUGGUUCUCCCCGAAAUAUAUUGAGGUAUAGCCUUAAAGGAUACUCCUCGGAGGUAAAGCACUGAAUGGACUAAGGGUCUUACCAGACUACUAAAUCCAAUCAAACUCUGAAUUCCGAGAAAGUUACUUUAGGAGUCAGUCUAUGGGUGAAAAGGUCCGUGGACGAGAGGGAAAGAGCCCAGAUCACAAGCUAAGGUCCCCAAAUAGAGACUAAGUGGGAAAGGUUGUGGGAAUGCUCAGACAGCCAGGAGGUUGGCUUAGAAGCAGCCAUCCUUUAAAGAAAGCGUAACAGCUCACUGGUCAAGCGCGCCUGCGCCAAAGAUGUAACGGGGCUAAAGUCUCUUACCGAAGCUGUGGCAUGUGGAAAUGUUUCCAUGAUGGGUAGGGGAGCGUUCUAUUGUAGGCUGAAGCGAGAUUGAAAGGACUCGUGGACGAAAUAGAAGUGACUAUGCUGACAUAAGUAGCGAUAAAACGGGUGAAAAACCCGUUCGCCGUAAGCCCAAGGGUUCCUGGGGAAGGGUAAUCCUCCCAGGGUUAGUCGGGGCCUAAGCCGAGGCCGAAAGGCGUAGGUGAUGGGAAACAGAUUAAUAUUUCUGUACCAUCGGAUGAACGUUAUACUGAAGAGGUGACGAAGAAGGAUAAACUAUCCGGGUGAUGGAUAUCCCGGUUCAAGCUGGUAGGAGGGUCAGUUGGCAAAUCCGCUGACCAUUAACUCUGAGAAGUGAUGAGGAUGGGCGUAAGCCCAACAAACUAGUUGAUUCCAAGCUUCCUAGAAAAGCCUCGUAGGGAGUUCAUUUGGUGCCCGUACCGUAAACCGACUCAGGUGGGCGAGUAGAGAAUACUAAGGCGCUUGAGAGAACUCUGGUUAAGGAACUCAGCAAAUUAACACCGUAACUUCGGGAUAAGGUGUGCCCUUGGUAGGUGAAGCCCCUGCGGGUGGAGCCGAGAAGGGUUGCAAUAACCAGGCUGUAGCGACUGUUUAUCAAAAACACAGGACUCUGCAAAGUCGCAAGACGACGUAUAGGGUCUGACGCCUGCCCGGUGCUGGAAGGUUAAGAGGAGGUAUCAGUCUUCGGACGAAGUGCUGAAUCGAAGCCCCAGUAAACGGCGGCCGUAACUAUGAACCUGGACCAUUGUAGUUAUAAAAUCUGACUAUAUGCUGGAACACCUCAUGGAUCCCACACUACUCGCCAUGUAGAUGGCAGUGACAAUGUGAUGGGUGGAGGCAAUCAGCAGGAAAGACUUUAAUUCUAAGGUUGGAGGUUUCCAUGAAAUUAAACCUUAAUGAAAUUCCGAGAGAUAUUGGUUACUAUCUUGCUGGCUUUGCUGAUGGAGAAGGAAGUUUCAAUAUUUCAUUCAGAAAACGUGAUGAUUAUACAACAGGAUGGAAAGUAUCUGCAUGUUUUAAUGUUUCACAAAAAGAGAGAAUCAUUUUAACUCUUUUUAAGCAACAUCUAAAGUGUGGAACAUUGAGAUCACGACCUGAUGGAAUAUGGUAUUACGAAGUCAAUAAUUUAAAUGCUCUCAGAGAAAAUGUGAUACCGUUUUUUUGGAAAUUCAAUUUUUUAUCAGCAAAAAAAAAGAAAGACUUUUCAACAUUUUGUAAAAUCAUCAAACUUUUAGAAUUUAAUGAUCAUCACUCAAUUGAGGGAAUACAAAAAAUUCUAGAAUUAAGAGAAAACAUGAAUAAUGGCGGCAACAGAAAAUUUAGUAGCCAAGAAAUUCUUGACAGUAUUAUUAAAGAAUCCCCAGAGACUGUACGUCAGACUCAACAUUUAAGUUGAGAUGAUACAGUCCGAUCUUUAUGGCGACAUAAAGAGUGAAAUAGAAAUAUUUCAUCACUUCGCAUAAUGAUGUGAAGUGUAACAUUAAUGAACGGUCCUAAGGUAGCGAAAUUCCUUGUCGGGUAAGUUCCGACCUGCAUGAAUGGCGUAACGACUGCAGCACUGUCUCAACCAGAGCCUCAGCGAAAUUGAAGAAGCGGUGCAAAUACCGUUUUCUCGCAGCAAGACGGAAAGACCCUGUGCACCUUUACUAUAACUUGGCAUUGAAUUUCGAGGCGAUUUGUGCAGGAUAGGUGGGAGACUUUGAGGCGGCGGCGCUAGCUGUCGCGGAGUCAACCUUGAAAUACCACCCUGAUCAUCUUGGAGUUCUAACCUAGGAGAGUAAUCCUCUCCAGGGACAUUGCCUGGUGGGUAGUUUGACUGGGGCGGUUGCCUCCUAAAUUGUAACGGAGGCGUGCAAAGGUUCGCUCAGGUUGAGUGGAAACCAACCUAUAGAGUGUAAAGGCAUAAGCGAGCUUAACUGUGAGACCUACAAGUC